RNAcentral lists this ribosomal RNA (236 nucleotides) under uncultured bacterium. Its description in RNAcentral is "partial 16S ribosomal RNA". It matches the Rfam family "Bacterial small subunit ribosomal RNA", at positions 524 to 759 of the family's 1533-position model. The record is from RNAcentral.
UACGAAGGGGGCUAGCGUUGUUCGGAAUUACUGGGCGUAAAGGGCGCGUAGGCGGCGUGUCAAGUCAGGCGUGAAAGCCCCGGGCUCAACCUGGGAACCGCGCUUGAGACUGGCAUGCUCGAGUUCGGGAGAGGAUGGUGGAAUUCCCAGUGUAGAGGUGAAAUUCGUAGAUAUUGGGAAGAACACCGAUGGCGAAGGCAGCCAUCUGGACCGACACUGACGCUGAGGCGCGAAAG